This 376-nucleotide ribosomal RNA is filed under the name uncultured organism. RNAcentral describes it as "bacterial SSU rRNA". It matches the Rfam family "Bacterial small subunit ribosomal RNA", at positions 45 to 433 of the family's 1533-position model. The record is from RNAcentral.
GGCUUAAUACAUGCAAGUCGAACGGCUGUAGCAAUACAGCAGUGGCAGACGGGUGAGUAACACGUGGGAACCUACCCAGGGGUACGGAAUAACUCAGGGAAACUUGUGCUAAUACCGUAUACGACCUAAGGGUGAAAGGGGGGGAUCGCAAGACCUCUCACUAUUGGAGCGGCCGAUAUCGGAUUAGCUAGUUGGUGAGGUAAAGGCUCACCAAGGCGACGAUCCGUAGCUGGUUUGAGAGGACGACCACCCACACUGGGACUGAGACACGGCCCAGACUCCUACGGGAGGCAGCAGUGGGGAAUUUUGGACAAUGGGGGAAACCCUGAUCCAGCCAUGCCGCGUGAGUGAUGAAGGCCUUAGGGUUGUAAAGCUC